GCUGAAAGUAGCAAUUCCACUAGCUCUUUCUCAAAGAGCAUCUCAAGGCACUCUGCUCCCUGAGCAUACUUUGAGGAUUGCUGACCAAAAUGAAGGCCAAGUGGGAUUCCCCUGACCUUUGACCCAAC
This 128-nucleotide long non-coding RNA is filed under the name Cricetulus griseus (Chinese hamster). Its description in RNAcentral is "lncRNA (ENSCGRG00000024154.1)". The record is from RNAcentral. Lineage: Eukaryota; Metazoa; Chordata; Mammalia; Rodentia; Cricetidae.